This 159-nucleotide microRNA precursor is filed under the name Oryza glumipatula. Its description in RNAcentral is "MIR812 microRNA precursor family". It matches the Rfam family "MIR812 microRNA precursor family". The record is from Rfam by way of RNAcentral. Lineage: Eukaryota; Viridiplantae; Streptophyta; Magnoliopsida; Poales; Poaceae.
UUUAAGUGUAACUAUAAGUUUCCAUGCCAACUUUGAUCAUCCGUCUUAUUUGAAAAUUUUUUAUAAUUAAUAUUUUUAUUGUUAUGAGAUGAUAAAACAUGAAUAGUACUUUAUACGUGACUUAUGUAUUUUGCACGAAAAAUCAUGGCUGCAUUUAAA